UGUUUAAUUUAAAAGAUGUGAUCUCUGGACAAGUGAAUUGGAUCCAAGACCUUAAGGUGGGCCGGGCUAUGUAGAGGCAAGCUAACGCCGGCGGCCGUUUGGUUGGAAUUUGUGCUAGCUGCCACUGCCAGCGUGUCAUUCUUACUGUUGUUGGAGGUGCCGUGUUCUUUAUGCUUUUGAUGUUUGUUGACUAAACUAACGAACUUUUAUUUAAGAUUGAGUUGAGUUAUGCGUUUUCUUUUUUCCGCAAGAUCUGAUAAGAUUGAACAAUGCCAAAAUGAUAACUAGAUAAAGGAUACUACCAUGCACAGUGCUCAAACUCUUAUC
This 327-nucleotide long non-coding RNA is filed under the name Arabidopsis lyrata. RNAcentral describes it as "long non-coding RNA (ALYR_LNC001766)". The record is from RNAcentral. Lineage: Eukaryota; Viridiplantae; Streptophyta; Magnoliopsida; Brassicales; Brassicaceae.